GUCUACAGCCAUGCCACCCUGAGCACACCCGACCCUGUCUGAUCUCGGAAGGUAAGCAGGGUCGGGACUGGUUAGUACUUGGAUGGGAGACCACCUAGGAAGACUGGGUGCUGUAGGCG
This 119-nucleotide ribosomal RNA is filed under the name Pteropus alecto (black flying fox). Lineage: Eukaryota; Metazoa; Chordata; Mammalia; Chiroptera; Pteropodidae. The record is from RNAcentral.